UUACCUUAUUUUUAAAGCUUCAGAGAGGUCUACCUGACCCCCUCUCAACAAUAGCCAUCCACACUGAUCCCAUCUUCCAGAAAGACUUAUACUUGAAGGGGAAACCUUAAACUUCGGUUCCAACCACUAGCCUACCACUGUUUUACAUGUACUGUCUGUCUGUAGAUAUAUAGGUCCCAUUUUAGGAUUUCAUUCCUUUUUCCAUGUCUUUGGUAGCUCACCUCUUCAAUCAGAUAUGCUAACUUAAGGCACAGUGAGUUGGAUGAUGGACUUUGAGCAACUUGAAAGGGCAAAAUGAAGCAUGUGAGACCUAAAUUCUCCCUAAUGGCGACCCAUGGCUUUUACAGGGAGAGGUGAAGGAUUUUCUAGUGUCAGUAACCACCAAGGUUUGAGAUCUUUGGAUGCAUCUGAAAGCAAGUUCAUGAACAAUUCACCUCCAAAUCCAAUGAUCAGACAAUGAGGGCUUCUGCUUGGUUAUGUCAGAAGCUUUUCACUUGAGACACAAGUAAAAAGAGGUAGUUUAUUGCAUAAGAAAAAAGCUGCACUUGUUUACAGGGAUGAUUUACAAAUUACAGAAACUGGCUUUUUCUUGUUUACUAGUUUGGUAAUUUGCAAAAAUUUAAUAUAAUGUCAAAUUUAUAUUAUUUUCCAAAAAAAAUAAAUCUUGUACAAUUAUAUCAGCAGAAAAAGGUUCAUUGCUAGCCCAGUAGUUCAAUGCCCAUCUUGUAAUACUUGGAGAUGAAAAGUUUCCCUUCAAAAUUUUCUGAUAAACUAGAGAGAAGAAAAAAAAAAAGCACAAGAACCCUUUUAGAAUCAACAUAUGUUAGUCGCAUAUCUCAAAAUCAUAAUGAUUUGCUAAACAUUAUUAGCCUUAAUCAAGUUCUUUUAUGUUCUUAAAAUUUUCUUAUUUCUCAACACUAAUCUAAAUAAACUCCUCAGUCAGCCAGCUUUGAUGAACCUCAGAAUAGUCUGCAUUGAACGAAUGCUUACUACGCAGUAGAAUUCCUUUUUGCAAGCUAAUUGUAUCAAACAAAAUCUCAUUAUAUAAAAAUGUUGGCUAUGCUCAACGUCAAGAAAUCAGAGUAUCACAUUUACAGCUUUAUAUUUUGUAUUUCAAUCUGAUAAAGCUACCCAAAUGUAUGCCCAUCUCAGGUGCUUAUGAUGCCGAUCACGCAUGGAUUCAUCUCCUAAACAAGAUUGUUGCUGGAGUUUCAUAAUCUGCUUGUAAACUUAUGACUAUGAUGUAGAAUCUGACUUUUGAUCAGAAUCAGCUGCGGCCUGGACUUGAGCUGCAU
RNAcentral lists this long non-coding RNA (1295 nucleotides) under Manihot esculenta (cassava). RNAcentral describes it as "long non-coding RNA (MESC_LNC010479)". Lineage: Eukaryota; Viridiplantae; Streptophyta; Magnoliopsida; Malpighiales; Euphorbiaceae. The record is from RNAcentral.